This 189-nucleotide non-coding RNA is filed under the name Boseongicola sp. Its description in RNAcentral is "6S RNA". It matches the Rfam family "6S / SsrS RNA". Rfam says of the family: E. coli 6S RNA was the first non coding RNA to be sequenced, but its function was unknown until recently. The record is from RNAcentral. Lineage: Bacteria; Pseudomonadati; Pseudomonadota; Alphaproteobacteria; Rhodobacterales; Paracoccaceae.
CAUCUCCUGCGGUGUUCGCCAGUGGGCCGAGUUAUCCCUUGAGCCUAUGCGAUAUAUGCCGGGGGUCGAUCAAGCGUACCGGUGUGCAUGUCCGCCUCGUAGCGGAAAGCCUGAUGGAACCCUUAUCGACGCCCACUUGAACCUCACGGUUCAAGGUCAACGGCCGGCAGCGGCGCAUGUGGGGGAUGU